Molecule: ribosomal RNA, 502 nt
Filed under: uncultured bacterium
Lineage: Bacteria
Description: bacterial SSU rRNA
Rfam family: Bacterial small subunit ribosomal RNA
Source: RNAcentral
GAUGAACGCUGGCGGCGUGCCUAACACAUGCAAGUCGAGCGUGAACCCUGCGAAUGAAACUUCGGUCGAUUUUGCAGGGGGAAAGCGGCGGACGGGUGAGUAACGCGUAGGUAACCUGCCCCAUACUGAGGGAUAGCCUCGGGAAACCGGGAUUAAUACCUCAUAACACCGUAUAUUCGCAUGGAUGUGCGGUCAAAGAUUUAUCGGUAUGGGAUGGGCCUGCGUCUGAUUAGCUGGUUGGUGGGGUAACGGCCUACCAAGGCGACGAUCAGUAGCCGACCUGAGAGGGUGAUCGGCCACAUUGGAACUGAGACACGGUCCAAACUCCUACGGGAGGCAGCAGUGGGGAAUAUUGCACAAUGGGGGAAACCCUGAUGCAGCGACGCCGCGUGAGCGAAGAAGGCCUUCGGGUCGUAAAGCUCUGUCCUAAGGGAAGAAAGGACGGUACCUUAGGAGGAAGCCCGGCUAACUACGUGCCAGCAGCCGCGGUAAGAGUAGUACA